UCAAGGGUAGUCUACACCAGACAUCUGAUUUCGACCCAGAAAACCUUACACUAUAAGCCCUUGUA
RNAcentral lists this transfer RNA (65 nucleotides) under Rhinophis philippinus. RNAcentral describes it as "tRNA-Arg". The record is from RNAcentral. Lineage: Eukaryota; Metazoa; Chordata; Lepidosauria; Squamata; Uropeltidae.